GACGAACGCUGGCGGCGUGCUUAACACAUGCAAGUCGAACGGAAAGGCCCUGCUUUUGUGGGGUGCUCGAGUGGCGAACGGGUGAGUAACACGUGAGUAACCUGCCCUUGACUUUGGGAUAACUUCAGGAAACUGGGGCUAAUACCGGAUAGGAGCUCCUGCUGCAUGGUGGGGGUUGGAAAGUUUCGGCGGUUGGGGAUGGACUCGCGGCUUAUCAGCUUGUUGGUGGGGUAGUGGCAUACCAAGGCUUUGACGGGUAGCCGGCCUGAGAGGGUGACCGGCCACAUUGGGACUGAGAUACGGCCCAGACUCCUACGGGAGGCAGCAGUGGGGAAUAUUGCACAAUGGGCGGAAGCCUGAUGCAGCAACGCCGCGUGCGGGAUGACGGCCUUCGGGUUGUAAACCGCUGUCGCCUGUGACGAAGCGUGAGUGACGGUAAUGGGUAAAGAAGCACCGGCUAACUACGUG
This 468-nucleotide ribosomal RNA is filed under the name uncultured bacterium. Its description in RNAcentral is "partial 16S ribosomal RNA". It matches the Rfam family "Bacterial small subunit ribosomal RNA", at positions 28 to 507 of the family's 1533-position model. The record is from RNAcentral.